This 1541-nucleotide ribosomal RNA is filed under the name human oral metagenome. Its description in RNAcentral is "bacterial LSU rRNA". It matches the Rfam family "Bacterial large subunit ribosomal RNA", at positions 1352 to 2371 of the family's 2925-position model. The record is from RNAcentral.
UUCCAGGGCCAGGCUAGUCCGCCCUGGGUGAGUCGGGACCUAAGGCGAGGCCGACAGGCGUAGUCGAUGGAUGACGGGUUGAUAUUCCCGUACCCGUGUGCGUGCGACAAGUGAUGAAUCUUAUGGUACUAACCGCCCGCCUACGUGCACUGGUCUUUUUGGUUGGUGUGUGUGGGUGCGUGGGAUCUUCGUGGGUAGUAGUCAAGUGAUGGGGUGACGCAGAGUGGUAGCUAGGCUUCCUUAUUGGAUUGGAGUGCAAGCGUGUGGCCUGUGGGGUUGGGAAAUCCGCCCCGCAUUAAGGGUGAGGCGUGAUGCGGACACCAUGUUGUGGUGGUAGUUAGUGUGCCUGUGCUGCCUAGAAAAGCCUCUAGCGAGUGCGUGCAUGGCCCGUACCGGAAACCGACACAGGUGGUCAGGUAGAGAAUACUAAGGCGUUCGGGUGAACUGUGGUUAAGGAACUCGGCAAAAUGCCCCCGUAACUUCGGGAGAAGGGGGACCAUUACUGGUUGCUGACAGCAUUAUUGGCUGGUGGUGGUCGCAGAGGAGAGAGGGAAGCGACUGUUUAUUAAAAACACAGGUCCGUGCGAAAACGUGGAAGUUGAGGUAUACGGACUGACGCCUGCCCGGUGCUGGAAGGUUAAGAGGACCCGUGAGCACGCCUUAUGUGUGUGCGAGGCGGAGAAUUGAAGCCCCAGUAAACGGCGGUGGUAACUAUAACCAUCCUAAGGUAGCGAAAUUCCUUGUCGGGUAAGUUCCGACCUGCACGAAUGGCGUAACGACUUCCCUGCUGUCUCAACCACAGGCCCGGUGAAAUUGCAGUACGAGUAAAGAUGCUCGUUUCGCGCGGCAGGACGAAAAGACCCCGGGACCUUUACUAUAGCUUGGUAUUGGUGUUUGGUCAUGCUUGUGUAGGAUAGGUGGGAGACUGUGAAGCCGCAACGCUAGUUGUGGUGGAGUCGCAGGUGAAAUACCACUCUGGUGUGAUUGGGUACCUGAACCUUGGCCCGUGAUCCGGGUUGGGGACAGUGCCUGGUGGGUAGUUUAACUGGGGCGGUUGCCUCCUAAAUGGUAACGGAGGCGCCCAAAGGUUUCCUCAGUCUGGUUGGCAAUCAGACCUUGUCCACCCAAGCGCGUAUCUCUGGGUACUUAGCCUGAAAGUCUGCCUCAUCAGUGAAAAGGUAAUGUAAGCAUUCAUCAUCAUUGACCUGACGAAAACUAAGAUUGUCAUUGACAAAGUACUCUGUACCAUCACUGUGUACCUCCUUUAGGAUAUUGAAAGGCUUGAAGAAAAGUUCGGCUUCCUUACCAAAGAUAUCCAAUUGCCGCUUAAAAAGCGCUAUUUGCUGCUGGUAGUGCGGCAAAUCCAAAAACUUGAAAUCGCGUACUGACUGGUAUUGGCGAAUGAUAUGGUUGGGAUAUUUCUCCUUCAUCUCCUUGUCAGAAAGCUCCUUAGCGUCAGAGAUAAAAGCCUGAUACUCAGGAGUCUGCUGUAUCUUAUGGAGUUUGUCAUACAAAGAACUCUGUUCCAAAUAAUUGGCAUG